GUCAAAUUGGCAGGAGCCUUAUGGAUAAUUGGGGGGAAACUAGGCAGCUCAUUAAUAUUCUAUUUUGUGGCUAUCGACGAUUGGAGAUCCACUAUCCAUGAUCCGUGACAAAUGCAUGCCGAAACCUAUACUCGCCUGGGCACAGUGCCCCAGCGAGUAAUAACAAAAUAUAAGGUAAGUUAAAAACAGCAAAGCUUUACCUACCUCGAUCUAUUUUGCUAAGACGCUCAAUUAUGUACAUUUUCGGCGAAUAAUCAAUAUUUUCUUUGCGUUUCCUCGACGAAAACCCACAUGAAAAUGCUCGUCAGAAAAACUGGGUAUUUGUCG
This is a non-coding RNA of Paramuricea clavata, 327 nucleotides long. The record is from the annotation of a GenBank genome assembly. NCBI's taxonomy places the organism in Eukaryota, Metazoa, Cnidaria, Anthozoa, Malacalcyonacea, Plexauridae.